Molecule: ribosomal RNA, 574 nt
Filed under: Chaetomium globosum
Lineage: Eukaryota; Fungi; Ascomycota; Sordariomycetes; Sordariales; Chaetomiaceae
Description: eukaryotic LSU rRNA
Rfam family: 5.8S ribosomal RNA (bases 203-356)
Source: RNAcentral
CGGCAUUCAUACGCGGAAGAGACAUUACAGAGUUGCAAAACUCCCUAAACCAUUGUGAACGUUACCUAUACCGUUGCUUCGGCGGGCGGCCCCGGGGUUUACCCCCCGGGCGCCCCUGGGCCCCACCGCGGGCGCCCGCCGGAGGUCACCAAACUCUUGAUAAUUUAUGGCCUCUCUGAGUCUUCUGUACUGAAUAAGUCAAAACUUUCAACAACGGAUCUCUUGGUUCUGGCAUCGAUGAAGAACGCAGCGAAAUGCGAUAAGUAAUGUGAAUUGCAGAAUUCAGUGAAUCAUCGAAUCUUUGAACGCACAUUGCGCCCGCCAGCAUUCUGGCGGGCAUGCCUGUUCGAGCGUCAUUUCAACCAUCAAGCCCCCGGGCUUGUGUUGGGGACCUGCGGCUGCCGCAGGCCCUGAAAAGCAGUGGCGGGCUCGCUGUCGCACCGAGCGUAGUAGCAUACAUCUCGCUCUGGUCGCGCCGCGGGUUCCGGCCGUUAAACCACCUUUUAACCCAAGGUUGACCUCGGAUCAGGUAGGAAGACCCGCUGAACUUAAGCAUAUCAUAAGCCGAGAGAAA